RNAcentral lists this ribosomal RNA (497 nucleotides) under uncultured bacterium. Its description in RNAcentral is "partial 16S ribosomal RNA". It matches the Rfam family "Bacterial small subunit ribosomal RNA", at positions 28 to 507 of the family's 1533-position model. The record is from RNAcentral.
GACGAACGCUGGCGGCGUGCCUAAUACAUGCAAGUUGAGCGCUGAAGGUUGGUACUUGUACCAACUGGAUGAGCAGCGAACGGGUGAGUAACGCGUGGGGAAUCUGCCUUUGAGCGGGGGACAACAUUUGGAAACGAAUGCUAAUACCGCAUAAAAACUUUAAACACAAGUUUUAAGUUUGAAAGAUGCGAUUACAUCACUCAAAGAUGAUCCCGCGUUGUAUUAGCUAGUUGGUGAGGUAAAGGCUCACCAAGGCGAUGAUACAUAGCCGACCUGAGAGGGUGAUCGGCCACAUUGGGACUGAGACACGGCCCAAACUCCUACGGGAGGCAGCAGUAGGGAAUCUUCGGCAAUGGACGAAAGUCUGACCGAGCAACGCCGCGUGAGUGAAGAAGGUUUUCGGAUCGUAAAACUCUGUUGGUAGAGAAGAACGUUGGUGAGAGUGGAAAGCUCAUCAAGUGACGGUAACUACCCAGAAAGGGACGGCUAACUACGUG